AGAUCUAAGUUGCACUAAGGUGAAUGCAGUGAACAGACUGCUCCCUCCUGCUUAAUCAUAUCCAUUCCAGGCAGCUGGUUUGGGAACAGGUUGCCUCCCCUCAGAGCAGGACUCGGGACCCAUGGAGGACAGCCCUGACGUAGGCACGGAGGUCACUGAGGUCAUGCUGAUCUGUCCUGUCAUCUGGUUCAUGCUGCUCAUGCCACCUGUGUUGGUCGCCAUGGACACAUUGAUGUUCAUGUUGUUACUGUACAUGCUGGUGUUUGCUUGCUGCCCAAAGUGUGGUGGGGACUGCUGUUUCCGCCCAUGUUCCCCUGCGCCCAUCCAUUUAUGUCGGAGGGGGCCUGAUAGGCUGGGUUGGCCUGAGACUGUUGCAUCAUGGGACUCUGUGUAUGUGCCAUUCGGGGUGACAUAAGUGGGCUCUGGGGAGUCGUAGCCCCAGUAAAGCCUGGAUCAGGUUGCAUGCUUGGUGUCAUAUUCAACCCUUGUCCUCUCAUCAUCAAAGUUCGUUGCUGAACUUGCUGUUGCUGAUGCAUUUGUCUCUGUCGAAGAUGCUGGUUCAGGAUUUCCCUCUGUCUCUGGGCCAGCAUCUGUGCAUUAAUAGGUCUUGAGCGAGGUUCCAUGUGUAGACCCAGAACCAGGCAAGCUACCUGUGGAGUCUUUGUUUGUAUCCGACAAAGAGCUGGCUAAGGGCGAGGGCUCCAUCUGAUCAGAUUUGGUGGUCAGCAGCUGCAGGAGUUUGGUCUGCCCUUUGCUGUCAUGCAGUAGGAUGGCAGCUGCUCUCUGCUUGUCCAGUUGUACCUUCAGAGGGCUCCCCAUAUAGUCCAAAACAGUCUUUUGAGUCCAAGCUUCCCAUCUUGCUGAGUGGGGGAGGAUUCAUAUUAACUGGGGAGUUUUGCAAAUUGCCCAUUUUUAGGUCUGGUGAAGCCAACGAUGACCCUAAUGAGACCCCGUGCCCCUCGCUGAGGGCCUGAAGUGCAUUGAGGGAGCUGUUGGUAUAACUAUGGCUAUUUCCUGUGCUGCUGCAAACUCCCACAGGGGAAUGCAAGCUUCCUGCAGGGGAAAACUGACUGGGCGAGUAGUAAAACUUUCUGAUGAGGGAAGAACUGGUCUUUCCUUCAUGGGAACUCUUCUUGCCACGCAAAUCAAGCAGGACUGCAAAUCUUGAGAGACAGCGAAGCACUGCAUAGUUUCAUAUUUCUGAUGAGCUUCCUGGUUAUCAUGACCCUCCUCUUCUGAAUCAGGUAAAGGUUUUACCAGCAUCCGACAAUUGAAGGUGCUUCACAGUUUCUUUUAAGAUUGCACAUUUGUCAGGUUUGAAGUUAAAGUUGUCUAUAUCAUUAAAAUUUGCAAAAAUCA
This 1359-nucleotide long non-coding RNA is filed under the name Homo sapiens (human). Its description in RNAcentral is "long non-coding RNA NONHSAT215937". Lineage: Eukaryota; Metazoa; Chordata; Mammalia; Primates; Hominidae. The record is from RNAcentral.